This 689-nucleotide long non-coding RNA is filed under the name Bos indicus x Bos taurus (hybrid cattle). Its description in RNAcentral is "lncRNA (ENSBIXG00000011905.1)". The record is from RNAcentral. Lineage: Eukaryota; Metazoa; Chordata; Mammalia; Artiodactyla; Bovidae.
GCCCAGCUACGCCGGGGUCUCCAAGGCCUUUUUCCUCCGGAGGCUCAGGCCCUGGAAGUGCAUUAUACGAUGUUUUUUUUUUUUUGGACUCCCUUCUGAGGCCACACCUGGCGGAAGCCGGCCCUUCUUGAUGUAAAUGUGCAAGUUAUCCCAGGAAGAACCCGAGAAAAACAACCCACCUUGCCUUUUGAUUGAAAGAUGUAACAGCAACAACUUGCCUUUCUCAGGCCUGACCUAUCAACAGCGAGGCGCGUAGGAGAGCAAAUACGUUUUAUGCCUUCCAACUAAGAAUCAGGCUGCUGCCGAUGCUGGUGGUAGAAGGUGGCAGAGAAGAUAAUGCCUGGGAGAAAUCAUAGAUGUACAGAGACUCAAAUCUUCAGUUACCUUUCAAAUGCUCAACAAGCCCACUUAUUGAAGUAAGCGGUAACAGUUUCCUGAGCCUGAAGUAUGAGAGAGCAGAGACACUUGAAGAGUGUUGUGAAUUACAUGCUGCAUGGGACAUCUGAAGUUCUGUAUGUUAGGCAUCCCUGUACGCUCUUCUGGUAAGACUACCUGCAUUGUGUUGAGUGAUCUCAUCUCAUGAUAUGGUUGAUGUCAAUUGUGUCCAACUCUUUGGGACUCCAAGGACUAUAUCCCAUCAGGCUCUCUGUUCAUGGCAUUCUCCAGGCAAGAAUACUGCAGUGGGUAGC